AUUGAACGCUGGCGGCAUGCUUUACACAUGCAAGUCGAACGGCAGCACGGGCUUCGGCCUGGUGGCGAGUGGCGAACGGGUGAGUAAUGCAUCGGAACGUGCCCAUUUGUGGGGGAUAACUACGCGAAAGCGUGGCUAAUACCGCAUACGCCCUGAGGGGGAAAGCGGGGGAUUUUUUGGAACCUCGCGCAAUUGGAGCGGCCGAUGUCAGAUUAGCUUGUUGGUGAGGUAAAGGCUCACCAAGGCGACGAUCUGUAGCGGGUCUGAGAGGAUGAUCCGCCACACUGGGACUGAGACACGGCCCAGACUCCUACGGGAGGCAGCAGUGGGGAAUUUUGGACAAUGGGGGCAACCCUGAUCCAGCCAUGCCGCGUGAGUGAAGAAGGCCUCGGGUUGUAAAGCUCUUUCAGCCGGGAAGAAACGCACUGUACCGGAAGAAUAAGCCCGGCUAACUUCGUGCCAGCAGCCGCGGUAAU
Molecule: ribosomal RNA, 476 nt
Filed under: uncultured bacterium
Lineage: Bacteria
Description: bacterial SSU rRNA
Rfam family: Bacterial small subunit ribosomal RNA
Source: RNAcentral